GACGAACGCUGGCGGCGUGCUUAACACAUGCAAGUCGAACGGAAAGGCACUGCUUUUGUGGGGUGCUCGAGUGGCGAACGGGGGAGGAACACGUGAGUAACCUGCCCUUGACUUUGGGAUAACUUCAGGAAACUGGGGCUAAUACCGGAUAGGAGCUCCUGCUGCAUGGUGGGGGUUGGAAAGUUUCGGCGGGUGGGGAUGGACUCGCGGCUGAUCAGCUUGUUGGUGGGGUAGUGGCUUACCAAGGCUUUGACGGGUAGCCGGCCUGAGAGGGUGACCGGCCACAUUGGGACUGCGAUACGGACCAGACUCCUACGGGAGGCAGCAGUGGGGAAUAUUGCACAAUGGGCGGGAGCCUGAUGAAGCAACGCCGCGUGCGGGAUGACGGCCUUCGGGUUGUAAACCGCUUUCGCCUGUGACGAAGCGUGAGUGACGGUAAUGGGUAAAGAAGCACCGGCUAACUACGUG
RNAcentral lists this ribosomal RNA (468 nucleotides) under uncultured bacterium. Its description in RNAcentral is "partial 16S ribosomal RNA". It matches the Rfam family "Bacterial small subunit ribosomal RNA", at positions 28 to 507 of the family's 1533-position model. The record is from RNAcentral.